This 234-nucleotide ribosomal RNA is filed under the name Triticum aestivum (bread wheat). RNAcentral describes it as "partial small subunit ribosomal RNA". Lineage: Eukaryota; Viridiplantae; Streptophyta; Magnoliopsida; Poales; Poaceae. The record is from RNAcentral.
CAUCACCCUAUAGAUGAAUUAUUAUUUGUUUCUGCCAUAAAUGUUGUUCAUGUUGUUGUCCAUAUAUUUAGUUGGUGUCACAACAGUGAUUUGAGCAUCAUGAAAAUAUAGGAAUAACCCUUAAAUUUUAGUCUGUUAUACAGAAACGAGGACAUGGCGCCAUGCAAGCGAGAGGAGCAAGGUGGCUUCUGGGGCUUAGAAUAGGAGGGUGAGAUGGAGUUUUGUGGAGCACUA